RNAcentral lists this transfer RNA (66 nucleotides) under Anurida maritima. Its description in RNAcentral is "tRNA-Val". The record is from RNAcentral. Lineage: Eukaryota; Metazoa; Arthropoda; Collembola; Poduromorpha; Neanuridae.
CUAGACAGAUCUUGUAAAAGUUUUUCAGUUACAUUGAGAAUAAUUGUGGUGGGCACAAUGUUUAGA